GGAGAGGUGGCAGAGUGGUUGAAUGCACCGCACUCGAAAUGCGGCAUAGGGGUAACCCUAUCGGGAGUUCGAAUCUCCCCCUCUCCG
RNAcentral lists this transfer RNA (87 nucleotides) under Rhodovulum sp. PH10. It matches the Rfam family "tRNA". Rfam says of the family: Transfer RNA (tRNA) molecules are approximately 80 nucleotides in length. Their secondary structure includes four short double-helical elements and three loops (D, anti-codon, and T loops). The record is from Rfam by way of RNAcentral. Lineage: Bacteria; Pseudomonadati; Pseudomonadota; Alphaproteobacteria; Rhodobacterales; Paracoccaceae.